This is a long non-coding RNA of Prionailurus viverrinus (fishing cat), 510 nucleotides long. RefSeq lists it as uncharacterized. The record is from RefSeq and is a predicted model, not a curated record. NCBI's taxonomy places the organism in Eukaryota, Metazoa, Chordata, Mammalia, Carnivora, Felidae. The transcript is spliced from 4 exons.
AAACACUGGUCAUAUUGUCAAGGCUUUGACUGCAAUGUCCUAUUUGAGAGAGGUCUGCAUUGGCUCAGAUACGACCAGACAGCAUUAAGGCACUAAGGUUGAUUUUUAUGGAGCCUGUGAAGCACCUUGGAAACAACUGGCCUGGUACCUUGCUUGUGAGUGUUCCCAGGAACCCUACCAGAUCCGAAGGUAUUAAAUCCACAGUACUUGUAAGGAUUGAGAAUAGAGCAGACCACUAGGAACAAAGUAGAUACAAAACAGUUUCUCAGAAAUCAAGAAUAAAAGAGAAUGGGCCACUGACGGAAGAUGGGUCUCAGAUAAACUCUGAAUAAACUGGAAUACAUGGAACCAAAUAUGGUAGAAAACUUUCAGAAUCACAAGUGAUACCUGCCCACUACUGUUUAAAAUCACUGGUCUAGUCCCUCUCUAUAGCAUUUGUUGCAGACAGCCCUAAAACAGCUGGAAUACAGUCAGCAGGGGCCCGGGCUGGACCAGGCAGAGCAACAGUUC